RNAcentral lists this ribosomal RNA (394 nucleotides) under uncultured bacterium. RNAcentral's name for it is "bacterial SSU rRNA". It matches the Rfam family "Bacterial small subunit ribosomal RNA", at positions 998 to 1387 of the family's 1533-position model. The record is from RNAcentral.
GGUCUUAUCGGGCCCUCCCUUCGGGGCUGAGGAGACAGGUGGUGCAUGGUUGUCGUCAGCUCGUGUCGUGAGAUGUUGGGUUAAGUCCCGCAACGAGCGCAACCCCUGCCUGUAGUAGCCAGCGAGUCAUGUCGGGGACUCUACAGGGACUGCCGGGGUCAACCCGGAGGAAGGUGGGGAUGACGUCAAAUCAUCAUGCCCCUUACGGCCUGGGCGACACACGUGCUACAAUGGCACAACAAAGAGACGCGAUCCCGCGAGGGGGAGCAAACCUCAAAAAUAGUGUCCCAGUUCGGAAUGCAGUCUGCAACCCGACUGCACGAAGCCGGAAUCGCUAGUAAUCGCGGAUCAAAAUGGCCCGGUGAAUACGUUCCCGGGUCUUGUACACACGCAA